RNAcentral lists this ribosomal RNA (105 nucleotides) under Bos taurus (domestic cattle). The record is from RNAcentral. Lineage: Eukaryota; Metazoa; Chordata; Mammalia; Artiodactyla; Bovidae. RNAcentral also lists the same sequence under 5 other names.
GUCUAUGGCCAUACCACCCUGAAUGCGUCUGAUCUCGUCUGAUCUCAGAAGCUAGGCAGGGUCAGGCCUGGUUAAUACUUGGAUGGGAGAAUGUGGUCAUAAAUA